GAGAGUUGAUGGUUGGUGAAUGGGUGAGGAGAUGGGUGAGGAGAUGGGGGGUGAGGGGGUGAGGGUGUGUUGAGAGCAUCCUUCUCAUUAAUUGCUCUUUCUCAUUUCUCCUCCUGAAUCCUUAAAGCAGAGAGAGAGAGAGCGCGCGAGCGGAGUGAACGAGGCCCGAAAAUGUCAGCGAGUCUGGGCGAGAGAGGUUAACAAACACUGAGGAGAGAGAGAGAGGGGUGAGAGAGAGAGAGAGAGGGAGAGAGGGGGGAGAGAGGUUCCUAAUUGGUAUUGGUUUUAACAAGUACUAGUCUAUAAAUGUAAUUGAGUUUUAAAACCGGUUCUUGUCUCCAUUUCCAGUCUGAUCAGAAUGAGGCUCGCGCGCUCUGAUCAUCGUAUACUUUUAUAAAUAUGAUCCAUAAACACGCGAGGAGGACCGGGGAGGUAAUAGGCUCAGAGAAAGUGGCUGUAAACGCUUUAACAAACUAUAAAGCUCCAUAAAGCGGGGAGGGGGGCAGUGUGUGUGUCUGUCUGUGUGUGUGUGUGUGUGUGUGUGUGUGUGUGUGUGUGUGUGUGUGUGUGUGUGUGUUUGCUUGUUUACGUCCCGGCAGCACAGAAACAAACCGGGAUGGUUUACGACGCGCCCUUUGCGCGACCGGAGGCCGUAAACGCCUCAUCCUCGCCGGUAUUUAAGUGUCAUUUUCUGCGUGUUUGCCAUACGGUUGUUGGUCCUUGUCCUGCAGGAGAGUACAGAGAGGUUUUCAAACAAGGAAUCAGACAAAGACACACCGAGCAGGAGCAGAGCGUGAAAGUCAGAGGGCCUGAGGAGCCAAAAGUCUGAACUUUGGAGUGUUUUUAUAUCCUGACACAGUAAUCGAUGAUGCAGGUGAAAGUGAAUUUCCUCUCUUCAGUUUUUGCUUCUUUCAUUUGAUUUCCAUCAGUGAAUGUUUUCCUGUUUGUGUCGCGCUCAGACUAAUAAAACCGUCAUUACUGGAGUUUAAUAUAUUCAGAUUAUACCGCGCUGACACAAGAGGCCCAAAUGUUGCCAGCAGUCCUCUGAAUUACACUCUCUGUUGUGGUAAAUCAGCUGAUUAUACGCCCGACUUUCUGAGGAGUAAUUGCCGCAGUAUUUUUCCAAUUUAUUACCUCGAAUAUGAUCUUAUUGAAAGUUCAGCGCGCCGUGUUUUACACUUCUAAUAAAGUGUUUGCUUAUGAGAUCUGCGCGGGGCUGGAUUGUGCAAGAAAAAAAAAAAGAAACAGUAGUCCGGACAAAUCACUAAAUUAGAGGACAGGGAGAGAGAGUUAAUAUCUGAGGAGACACACAAACAGACACACAAACAGACACACAAACAGACACUCAACACAACAGAUUUGGAGAUGUUUAAAACACCAAACACUCUCCCUCCUCUGCGCUGAUUCAACACUAAAAUAAUCAGGUAAAGGUUUGUCAGCACCCUAAAGGUGUGUGUGUGAGUGUGAGUGUGUGUGUGUGAGAGAGUGUGUGUGUUUCCUUACACUGAGCAGAGGAAGCCAAACACACACCUACACAUUCCUGCAUAUUAAGAAGGGAAAUAAGGUGCGUGCGUCCUUGGAGUGGAUUGUGCACCAACACAAAUAAACAUUUCCUGGAGGUCUGCACGUAUCCUGCACGCCCAUAGGGAGAGUAUUUUCCAAGGCCUCAACCCUUCCUCAUCCUCCUCCUCCUCCUCUUCAUCCUCAACCCAAAACACAAACUCUAAAUGUCUCACACUCUCCUCUUUUCUCCUUAAAUUCACGCUCAAUAGAGAAUAAAUCAAGUUUCAGCCCUUAAAGAACAACAUGCGUGUUCGUGUCCUCCACUGAAGUGAGCAGAGAGAUUCACGGUUCAUCCGUGGAGCAAGAGCGCCAUCAAGUGGCAGCACGCACGAAGGCCACAGGGGGGAUGUCGGCCUGUAAUGCGGCUUUAUGGUUCUAUUAAGUGCGCACAUAAAGCUACAUAAGCUGCUUUAAAAUAAAACUGCGGGUUAUAAUUGGAGGCCAGAUGUGAGGGCUGAUCUGGGAUUUGAGGGAGAGAAAAAAGAGAAGAGGAGGAAAGAGAGAGAGAGAGAGAGCAGAGGAGGAAAAACCCAAACAAACCCGGAUUAUUCUGACUCAACAUGAGCGAAACCAACAAAAUUCAAGGAGUGUGUUUUUUUUUUAGAGAGGUUUAAACCCCAGAGAGUGAGAAAUAAACAUGCAGAGACUGGUAAAAAAAAACAUAAGGUACUGAGUGGAAAAUCUGUUCAGGGUGUGAAUAAAAUAAAUGAAAACUGGGGAAAAAAACACUAGGUGAGUGGAGCUGUUAUCUGGUUUAAUGGUCAGAUUUUUAGCACUUCUAUUUUAGGCCUAAAUGUGAGCUGGAUGGUAAAUAAUAUCUGUUAAUAUUGUUUUUAAUUUUAUACUCUGAGAAGAUGUGGUUUUAAGAUAACUAUAAAACAUUCUUAA
RNAcentral lists this long non-coding RNA (2451 nucleotides) under Xyrichtys novacula (pearly razorfish). Lineage: Eukaryota; Metazoa; Chordata; Actinopteri; Labriformes; Labridae. The record is from RNAcentral.